CACACAUGCUCCAUAUAAAUUUAUAGUAGAUAAAUCAUAGAUUUAAUCACACGAUUAAUAUGUGCAAACAGAAAGUUAUUUCUAAAACAAUGUGUUAAUACACCUGGAUUAUAUUUGGAACUUAUAUUUUCAAACAGACAUGGAUCCUAAUCAAAUGAAAGCACUUGACCAAUGUCAUCCAGAUAUACUGCGAGAUGUAGACAUUGACAAACAAUUUCUUCUCAGAAUGUACAUAGACAACAUUAUUACUCAAGCUCAAAGCGAAGAUAUAGAGCAAGAAACAACCAGAAGAGCAAAAGCUUCCAAACUAUUAGAGGUUUUGCCACGUAGAGGACCAUCCUGUUUUCGUCAAUUCGUUAACAAACUACGCCAAGACUAUCCUUGGAUUGCGAAAAAACUUGAUACAGAAUAUGAAAAGGCGAAAAGAGAAAUACCAAAAGAUAUCAAUACAAAAUUGUUGGAUGUCUAUAACAACCAAUUAUGUCGAUUGGUUCAUGGUGUUUAUGAUCACAGCUUUUUGUUGCCACCAGAAACCCAACCUGAAUAUUUAGUUAAUCAAAUAUCCGACAAUGUGCGUAUUCUGCAUAGCAGAUGUUACCGAGCUCUUGGAAUAUCAUCACGUGAUCAUGAUCCAGUAAUCACAUACUUUUCACUUUCACAACUUAUAGACCGUAAAGUUCAUUGUUUACAAAACAGUCUCCACGAAAUGAAAUGGUCACUCUAUGAGGAGAAGAAGAAAAAGAACAAAUCAAAUAUUAUAGUUUUAGACCAAAAAUUUGAAAAGGAAAUCACUAAAACGAAAAAGGCACUCGAGAAACAAAAAGAAGCGAACAAAAAACUAGAAUCCUCAUUGAAAGUAAAAACCAAACAGAUACAAUCUCUAUCAAGAGAAAGCACACUUUUACAAACACAAAACCAGCAAUUGAAGGAACGUGUGCAAGAACUUGAAAGUGCAAUGAUUUAUCAGCGUCAGUCGUCACAGGUAUCAAUGAUCACCGAGUGGAGGAUGUGAAGGGUACCAUAUUUUGUAUUAUUUAAUAAGCAAGUCAAUUUAUUUGAGUCUCGAUGCAAAUAAGGGAUCCUAUAUUUUGUAAGCGUCGCCGUGUCGGCAGUGUCACCAACAUUUAAAACCGAUUCAAAUUAAAAUAAGUGUAGACAUAAAUUAAAAUAAGUGUAGACAUCAAUAAUUUUGCCGACCCACCAUGAAAUUUUACGAAAUGUGAACAGUAGCUUCGUAAUCAAGACAUAGCAUUUGAAGAAGAAUGAAAAUAAAAUUUUCGUAUGUUUACAGAUUUAUAAAUAGAUUUGUACAGUUAAAAUACAAUCUAUAGGUUAAGUUUUUCAGACAUUAAUAAAUGUCAGCCCAUCGUUGAAAUUUACGAAACUUUGACAGAACCUU
Molecule: long non-coding RNA, 1399 nt
Organism: Mytilus californianus (California mussel)
Lineage: Eukaryota; Metazoa; Mollusca; Bivalvia; Mytilida; Mytilidae
Exons: 3
Source: RefSeq, a predicted model, not a curated record